Molecule: ribosomal RNA, 435 nt
Filed under: uncultured bacterium
Lineage: Bacteria
Description: partial 16S ribosomal RNA
Rfam family: Bacterial small subunit ribosomal RNA
Source: RNAcentral
AGCGAACGCUGGCGGCAGGCUUAACACAUGCCAGUCGAGCGGGCACUUUCGGGUGUCAGCGGCGGACGGGUGAGUAACGCGUGGGAACGUGCCCUCUGGUUCGGAAUAACUCAGGGAAACUUGAGCUAAUACCGGAUACGCCCUUUUGGGGAAAGGCUUGCUGCCGGAGGAUCGGCCCGCGUCUGAUUAUCUAGUUGGUGAGGUAACGGCUCACCAAGGCGACGAUCAGUAGCUGGUCUGAGAGGAUGAUCAGCCACACUGGGACUGAGACACGGCCCAGACUCCUCCGGGAGGCAGAAGUGGGGACUAUUGGACAAUGGGCGCAAGCCUGAUCCAGCCAUGCCGUGUGAGUGAUGAAGGCCUUAGGGUUGUAAAGCUCUUUUAUCCGGGACGAUAAUGACGGUACCGGAGGAAUAAGCCCCGGCUAACUUCGUG